AAUAAAUGCAAAUAAAAAUUUUUAUUUAAAGUUAAAAUGUAAAUUAAAAUUUUUAAUUAAAUUUAUUAGGUUAAAUUUUAAAUUUAAAAAAUUAUUUAAUUUAAGAUUAUUUUAAGCUUAGAAAUUUUAUUAUUAAACUAGGAUUAGAUACCCUAUUAUAAAAAAUGUAAAUUUGAAAAAAUAGAGUAGUAUUAGUUAUAUUCUUAAAACUUAAUAAAUUUGGCGGUAUUUUAAUCUAUUCAGAGGAACUUGUUUUAUAAUUGAUAAUCCUCACUAUAUCUUACUUAAUUUAUUUAAUUUGUAUACCAUCGUCAUAAGAAUCUCUUAAAAAAGAAAAAAUUUUCUUAAUAAUUUAUUAAUUUAAAUGUCAGAUCAAGGUGCAGUUUAUAAUUAAGAAAAAAUGAGUUACAAUAAAAUUAUUUAAACGAAUUUUAAAUUUUAAUAUUUAAAUGAAGGUGGAUUUGAUAGUAAAUUUAAUUAAAAAGUUAAGUUGAUUUUAGUUCUAAAAUAUGCACAUAUCGCCCGUCGCUCUCGUUAUUUAAAAUGAG
This 548-nucleotide ribosomal RNA is filed under the name Allodiopsis rustica. RNAcentral describes it as "partial 12S ribosomal RNA". Lineage: Eukaryota; Metazoa; Arthropoda; Insecta; Diptera; Mycetophilidae. The record is from RNAcentral.